Molecule: ribosomal RNA, 327 nt
Filed under: uncultured eukaryote
Lineage: Eukaryota
Description: partial 18S ribosomal RNA
Rfam family: Eukaryotic small subunit ribosomal RNA
Source: RNAcentral
CCCUUAGAUGUUCUGGGCCGCACGCGCGCUACACUGACGGAUUCAACGAGCUUACAACCUUGGCCGAAAGGUCUGGGUAAUCUCCAAAAUCCGUCGUGAUGGGGAUAGAUUAUUGCAAUUAUUAAUCUUCAACGAGGAAUGCCUAGUAAGCGUAAGUCAUCAGCUUGCGUUGAUUACGUCCCUGCCCUUUGUACACACCGCCCGUCGCUCCUACCGAUUGAAUGGUCCGGUGAAGCGUUUGGACUAUGGUUUUCUGAUGGUCCGCCGUUGGAUUACCGUGGGAAGUUCGUUAAACCUUAUCAUUUAGAGGAAGGAGAAGUCGUAACA